UUAUCUAUUACUCAAAUGCAAAAGAAAGGUUUCUCCUAACUUGAUUUGAAUGAUGAAUGAUUUGAUACAUUAUCCUGUACCAUGUCGAUCUCAUCACUCCAUCCAUCCAUCCAUUCAAUAAUUUUGAACCAAUUGACUGGGGUCAGGUUAUGCCAUGUCCUGGAUCUUCCCAUGGGACCCCUUCUUCCGGUGGAACAUGUUUGAAACACCUGACCAGGUAGGCAUCUAGGAGGCACUCCGAACACUCCAAACUACACCAAGCUCCUCCUGGGUGACAGAGCUCCUCAGGCACUCUCUAAUGGCCUAUUUCCUACUAAGUGGUACAGAACAGUACGGUAUAGGUCGGUGUGGGUCGCCUUUAUCAGACUUGCGUAACCAAUCCUAAAAGGGUACCAAUGGUACUCCUUUGGUGGGUGUGGUGUAUGACAGAAAGUUUUCGUCGUCAUCAUUCUCAGAUGCAUUCAGAAGCACUUCAAUUAUGUUAUUAUCAUUAGCUGAAGAAGUUUGUUCAUUCAAAUAUAGAUACGCGGCAGGUGUACGCGAGAAAGCGAAACCGCUCAAGCUUUAGACGGCCUUGUAAAAAACUACAUGGCACAGGGCAGAAUCUGCUCUUCUUUUUGUCUUUGUCGAUGUUCAUAAAGACGACAAGGCUUGUUUGAACUAGGGUCGACUAUGGCUCGUUAUUAUAUGUAUAUAUUAUUAUGGUGUAAUAUUUCGGCUGUGUAUUUAAAACAUGGUGGUUCCCUGGUUUUCAUUCUGACUUGUUGCACGAGUGAGUGACGUAUCUCUGUAAACCAUUAGCAUUGCACGUCUAGCUCCGCCUUUUAGUACCCUUUUGUUGUGCUAGGUACCCUUUGCAAAGGGUACCCAAAAAGUGGUACUGUUCACUUUUAGAGUACCACUCAACACAGUGGAAACGGGCCAUAAGGGCAUGCAUGCACCAGACACCCUACAUCAAAAGGCUGUGCCAUAAAAAUAAUGAACAGAUCGGGUGACAAAGAGCAGCCAUGCCGACACCAGGAACAAGUCUGACUUAUUGCUGGCAAUGCAAACCAAGCUUCUGCUGGUUAUACAAAGAUGGCACAGCCCUUGACAGAGUGCCUUAGACUUCAUACAUUUUGAGCAUUACACACAUUAUGCACCAUUAUAUACCUUCUACAAGUCUCAGAAGCAUAUCUGAAUUGGUUGGGUGAACUGCCACAAACCCCAAGCACCCUAAAGAGGCUAUAGAGAUGAUCCAGUGUCCCAGGGCCUAAACAAAAGGUGCAUUGUUCCUUUUGAAUCUGAGGUUAUACUAUUGGCUGGAUUCACCUUUCCAAGUACUUUGGCACAGACCUUUCUAGAGAGGCUGAGAAGAAUAAUCCCUCUAUGAUUGGAACACACCCUCUGGUGUCCCUUCUUAAGAAUGAAGACCACCACCCCAGUUGCUCAGUCCAAAGGCACUAUCCCUGACCUUCAUUCAAUGUUGUUGAGGUAUGUCAAUUAAAACAGCAUCAACACAUUCUAGGAGCUAUGUUGUCAGAGGCAAAAUGCCCCUUUGAAGGGUCUCCCAAAGCAAAAUGUUCCUAGGUGACAAAGCAGACUAUGUGUGGUUCAGAAACCUCUUAUGAGGGAUAAAACUCUAAUAUCGUUCAGUAUGAUGCAAUUAGGGCCUCACCCUGGAAAAAAAUGACCUGAUUUUUAAACAUGUUGAACCCUUUAAAUCAAACUAUAUUAAGACUCACUGACAAGUUUCUUUUUCACCAAUGUAGCACAUCUGCAUUAUGUCACAAUUAAAAAAUCUGCAAUCGUAUGCCUUAGGUAAAACUGUGACUUUUCUAAUUACAUACGGAUAUGCCUAUAGAGAGAAUCUAUGCCUAUAGGGGAUUUUUUUAGGAAUGCAUUUCUGACCUUCACCAUCUAUGCACCUGCACACACCCAAACCUACUGCAUUUCUCUAGAGAGUGCUUAAGCUCCCAAGGGAGUUGCUCUUACUGUAGAACAGUUCUGUGACAAGAUCUUUAAUUGCACAUACAAGCACAUGAGCAAAUGUACGCUGUAUGUGCACACCCUUAAAAUUAACCUUUUUUUUUUUUGGUUCAGCUGGAUACAUGAACGUGUGAAAAGGCUGAAAAUAAAUGAACUCCAAUUCAAUAAAUAAGCCACAGUGUCAUAAUGUUGGUGGCAUUCAGCUCAACAAACACAGAUCUCUAUCUUUUUCCCUCCAUGCAGUGUGACCUACAUAGUGGAGAACUACUGCCUGAUGGUGCAUGCAGCUGCCACAAGAAUCCACGCACACACAAACACGCAUGCAAUCAGAUAUGCAUGUAAUGCACCAAACAUAAUUUGUAUUCAUGCUUACAAUUCAUAUUCAUUCAGCUUUUUCAUCACGACUGUGCUUCUUUCAAACAUAAAAAAUCUGCAUACAAAUUCAGCAAGGAUGCAUUGCUGUUAUCAAAACUGAAAGUGAUAGUAAAGACAUUUAUAAUUGUUGUAAAAGACAAAAUGAUGAACUUUUACACUUUGGAUUCAUAAAAUGAUAUGUAUUGUAGAUGAAUAAAGUGCUUGUGCUCCCUAUGGCCAGUUCUUCUGGUACAUCACACGAGUGACCUUAUUAUUAAAGAGCCGCUGGUUGUUCUGACUAAGUGUUCUUAGGUCAGACUUGUCUAAUGUCUGUUUUACAUUGUACUGUUUGAGGCUGGCCAAGAUGAAAGAUGACCAACAUGAAACAACUGUGUCGAUUUCUUUGAUCCUGGCUUCUAAACGGUGGUCCUACUAAAUGUUGUACUUAAGAGAUUUAAAAACCCCUGUUGUCAUGGUCUUGCAACCAAUAUGACCUUCUAACAGUGUAAAUACUGCAAUGGGAUACAUCUACUGACAAGCCAAUCAAAAUUCAUAAUGAAAUGACAUGUUGAUCAGUGAAACAUGUAAAAAUAACUCAAAGAAAUGAAGGAAUACUAUGGCAUUCCAAUAAAUCUGGUGGAUGUGUCCUGUUUUACUAAAGUGCAGAUCACCUUGCUUUACUGUAUGUUUAUGAUUUUAUUUUUCUACUUGUGUUAUAUUCAGUAGCUGUCACCUUUGUGAAGUCUACAUACAGUACACGUCAUGUCCAAGUUUAUUAGAUCCACGCAGUUGGAUUUUUAAUGAACUGUAAAAUUGACAAAAUCAGAGGAUCUUCUAGGAGACUUAAUACAGACCCACAUACUGCUACUUAACAGGCCGGCUUAAAAAGAUCACCACUCGCACAAGGAUUUCCAGCCAGUUGAGAGGCUAUUAAAGGUCCGUCCUACAGUGUCUGAGAGUAGGGUAAGUGUUAAGAGCCAAUACUGGCAGAUUUCAUCAGACUUGAAUGGCCCAUAGUGUGAAGUCCUGUGGAAAGCAGACAUGUUUCAGACAAAACACACACAGAGCUUCCUUUCGCACAUGGCAUGGGAUGUCAUAUGUCAGUGUUUUGCACAUCUACUACAUGUCUACUGCCACAUAACCCCAGGCAAAGCUCCACUUAGAAAUCUGUUGUGGCUGUGAACACGUGCCUUGUCAUAAAUCAUCUUGCCCUUGAAGAUUAUGCUGUGUAUUUAUAGAUACAGCCAUUUAUAUGCAACACACAAAGAUGCAGAAAAGGUCACCAAAGAUGAAUAAAGAUUAAACUUUCAUGCGAUGCUUAUGCUGUCUGCAAAAACCACUUGCUAAUUAUAACAUUAUUCUGUAAAAUCCAGCAUGAUUAAACCAAUGUAAAUGUCAAGGUCAAAUGGCAGUGCAAUGAUGUUUUAUGUGACCUUUGUUUAACAAAAAGUUAUUUUUUUUUAUAAAAACAAUUCACUAGAUGUACCAUUAUGCUAGCACCCGUAUAAGAGAAUAUUUGGAGAUGUGAAUGGCAAAAAUGUCCAAUACUGCUGUUGCUUUGCAUUACUGCAUUGAUCAGUUUACACAAAUGCAGACAUUCACAAACCCAAGAACAUGUGUGUACAUGAAUACAUCAUUAGACCAUAUAUAAAGUCUACACUCAAAAAAAUGAACUUUCCCUAUUGUUAGUUUUACUAAACCCAUCCUUGUUCACAUUACAUAAAACAUAAUAGUAAUUAAAUUAACAUAAGUUUACCAUGUUAUUUCUACAAAAAUGUAGUACUGUAGGCUUUACUUAAUAAGGGUUUGACAGGCCAACUUAACAUUGUUGAGUAAAACGCAAAAACCUCUUAAAAUUGGAUAUUUGCUGAUACCGUAGCUACCUACCUGGAGGCGGAGCAACGGAACAGUCAGAGAGAGGAACAUGUGAAGCACAUGAGGAGGAGAAGAUGGUGGCUUUGUCAGAUUGCUGCUGAAUUCAGUCGAAUCACUACUGUCCCACUAAUUCAAACAUUUUUCAAAACUGGAUGGUUACACCAGCAAGCUGGACAGCAUUUACCGUACAAAAGAAGAAAUUGCAAAACGGAAAAUUUGAAAACUCAUGGCUACCAUCGACAAGAAUGAUGCCAUCUCAACUUGGAGAGCUUGCAUUCUCAGAGCACUUUCUGUGUAUCUUAAUGAAGACUAUUAAAACCUCAUGAAGGAGUAUACAGCGACAGACUUUGAGAGAGACAUGGCCAAUACUGUCAUUUAAAUCUACAUCGUUAAGCCUGAAGGUGUAGAAGUCUGUGACCCACCAUCAGUUGCUGGACUGAUUUUUGAGGGAGUAAAAGUGCUUCAGAACCUUGGUGAUGUCACCAAGGCUUGUUCUCUUUCUUGGAGAGUCAAAUACAGCGUGAAUCUCAGUUAUCCUUCAGACCUGAAAUACACUUUUGAGUUUUUCAGAAAGUGUUGCUGGGACUUGCACAUAAACUGUCACACAAAAUACAAGUUCUCAAAAACAAACUUGUUGGCUGAAUCAGUACAUCAUUCUGGACGGAUGAAAGAAAUAGAGGAAGAAGCUUUUUUGAGACACUUAAAUUGUUUCUAGUUUUAAAAUUAAGGGCCAAUUUUAAAGUUAUCUUUGUCGAUGGCACCAAAGUUUUAAAUGGAGUUCUACAACUUUAAAUGGUUAUAAUUGUUUGAUUAUUUACAAAGAUUCAGAUUUUCAGUUUUAUUAUUUUCUUUGCUUUUUUUAAAUUCUUAUGCUGCUUGUCUUAAACUUUCAUUUUCUUUUUCAAAGUAAAAUUUAUUACUUGCAGUUGCACAUAUUGAAAGAACAUUUUGGUCAAUAGUAAAACUUCUUUUAUAAAUUUUUUUUAUGUUUAUUUUUUAAACAAGCUAUUGUUUUGUGGUGGUUUUCAUAAAUAAAGGUCAGUUGUAUACUUUAUAUUAAACCUUUUGAAAUAUCAGCAAUUGAGCAUUGUAGCAUUUUGUGACACAGGAAAAAAAUGUCAAAUUACUUUUGUAAAUUUGCUCUUAUACAUUUUUCUUCCAAUAUUUGAAGUAGCACAUUGUAAGAAUGUUCACUAUUGACCAAAUGUUGCUUUCGCAUUUUUUUUUCUUUCUUUUUGUACUUUUAUUUGAACUGUUUGAGAAUGUUUACAAAAAUAGAGGCCAGUUUUAAUGUUACUCUCACUAUUGAUUGUAAAGAUCAGAAAUUAAUUUUAGCAGUAUUUUAACAUUCCAUGUACAACAUUUUUCAAAGUAAGAUUAUUUCAGAUUCUUAAAGCCAGUUGCACUUUAAAAGACCCUGUAAAUGUUAACUGAAAGCAUCUGAUGUUUUAGUGUGUUUGUUUCAAAGGAAAUUGAAAUUGUUUUAUGGGUUUUUAGCAGUUGUAUGUUGCAAAACAUUGCAAAGAAAAUAAAUUCAUUUUGUUUCUAAAAA
Molecule: non-coding RNA, 5749 nt
Organism: Danio rerio (zebrafish)
Lineage: Eukaryota; Metazoa; Chordata; Actinopteri; Cypriniformes; Danionidae
Source: RefSeq, a predicted model, not a curated record